GAGAUUGAACCACCAGCAUGGCGAAUGGUUCCUGAACCACAGCAGGGUGUGAGAAAAAUUUGUGUGCCCCAGUCCCAUCUGUCCUUUCAAAGAUAACAUGUUGUUCCCCGCGAGGAAGAGACUGAGGAGCUCUUCACUGACAUAUACAGAGCUGAGAAGUAAAGAAAUGUGUUUGGUGCAAAGAUGACCUCGUCUGAGCUGACUACUCCUUACAUUACUGUACUGUAAGUGCUGGGUAUGCAUAGGACAGUUUGUCAUACUAUCACAGUGACUAACACAGUGAAACAGACUCACACACAUCCACACCUAGAACCAGAUUAGAAACACUAAUUUAUCUCACAUGUAUUUCUGGCAUAUCUUUGGACUGCCAGUUGAAAACUAAAAGUUCUACAAAUAAUUACAGUCACGCCUAAUGGUUAUGGGUAAUUUGGUGUUAUUAGAAGUUUUUGCUGA
This is a long non-coding RNA of Oreochromis aureus, 453 nucleotides long. RefSeq lists it as uncharacterized. The record is from RefSeq and is a predicted model, not a curated record. The transcript has 3 exons. Lineage: Eukaryota; Metazoa; Chordata; Actinopteri; Cichliformes; Cichlidae.